GCAGAUCGCGGGAGAGCCCAAUCACGGGGCGAGCUGGACCUGGCUGUGAUCAUUUAUAAUCCUUGACUCCUCCGCUCCGCCACUUGUCAAGAUGACAGGGGUCAUCCGUGAAUAACACUUCACGCUGAUGAAUGGCUCUUGCCGGCUUUCGGCUCUGAUGAGGGGUCUGCCCGCCGCCGAUUGAAAACACUAAUGAACUUACUGCGCCAUUUGAAAUUCACACGCACCAACAAAAUGGGGUGUUCUUUCGUCCGAGACCGAAAAGCGCAAAUGACCUUUGGACAGGGAAGGGAGGCAGUAAACACUCAGACUUCCUUACCAGCCCCUGGUGGGCACUGCAGCAGAACAAUUGUCUGCCCCCCAGGUUCAAGCACCUAGGCCUCCGCCCCGCAUCACCUGGCCAGGGGCGGACCCGGGAGUCCUCCGAAGGCUCCACUCCCCACUUUUACUACUCUUCUUUCCUCUCCAUUCUCCCCUCAGAUUAGCGGCCGGACACUGUCCCUGCCUCGAUUUUGUUUGCUGUGGGAGGGAAAAAAAAAGUUUGCUGCUCCUCCCAAGACACUGGCCACUUUCUACUCACUGAAGUUCCCACCGCAGCGCUGGCUCCCGGCUCCCUAGCUCCCGCCCCCUGUCUGCAGGAAAGCCCUCCCCCGGAGCUUCCGAAACUGCUGGAGGUUCCAGAGUUUUGUAGCUCCGAAUGGGCGACCUGAGCCGAACCGCUCUCUGGCUGGGUGGUCGGCGGGAUCCUUCAGGCUCCUUUCGGGUCCGGGACGGGGCGGCGGCAGAGGUGGGGCGUGCGUGCUUGGGGCUGCCGAGUGAGUGCGGCUCCCUGGUGCGCGCCCGAGCAUCUCCCCGCCCUCUCCUGGGACCAGCAGUCUGCCCGUGGAGGGCUAGGAGCCCGCGACCAGGCCUGCCCCGGCCGUCGCCAACCUGUCCUUGGAAGCGUGGCGGAGACUGGUGCGCUCUCAGCCUCGUCGCGCCAGCCGCCUCGCGCCACCCUCCACUUUCAGCUUCAGAGCAGAGGAUUCCGCCGACCUCCACCUGUACCUGUACUCGGCCGUUAGGAAAUCCACUUGCAUUUUUAACUACCGUGCAGAACCAGAAACAGAUCGAGCACUGGGAGAACAAGGACGACGCCUCCUAGGAAAGCCUGAACCUUUAUGUUAGUUUAUCCAAAGUUUGGGCUAGAAGUGAGGAGAAUCCCUAAACUCGAGGUGGUGUGCCCAGACCCACAGCCCGUGUUCCCGAAGUUGCUAAGUGCCCGAGCGCAGCGCGUUAAGUAGAGAAGUCUUGGUAGUAAGCGAACCCGACCCGGCUCUCGGGGCGCUAGUGACGGAAAGCAGCACGCAUAUCUUUGCGGGAAGAAUCUAGAGUCGCCCUGGGAUAGAUCCAUCUCCUUCUGCCACUGAAUUUCACACUUGAAAAAGAUAAGGUCAUGGGGGCGGAUGAAUGAUAUCCCUCACUCAUUUAGCCAUUCUUAUUAUUAUAUAAAAAAAAGGCUUGUCAAUUAUGAAGGUGUGUCCCAGAUAUUACAUGAAGAUCAUGCAAACUACUUGAAAUUUGAAUCCGGACAUGAUCGUAAGGAAACUCUUUCAUAAAGCACUUUUGUGGCCUAGUUCCCACACACACACAAAAGUAUUAGGUCUUUAAAACUUUUCCAAGUAGUAAGUGAGACUCCCUCUUACUGUCUACGAAUACACAAUAAAGAGAUGAGACACUGCCCCAAUCCUAAAGAGGCCAGAACUGAAGUGCUACAUUGUGUGAGUUAGGGGAUGCUUCUUUUUUCCAGCUCUUUUUUCUAGAAUCCUCAUUACAGCUAACGCUGGUAAUAAAGGUAGGAAAACAAUAGAACUCAUAAAACUUAGAAAUGGUAAUAAAUCUUGGCUCCUGUCUCUAGCCCAGUUCCUUCUUACAUGAGAUUCAAAGUUUUUCAGUAUGCAAUGCUGAACGUUCACACUAUGGUUGCAAAAUAGAAAAAAAUACUCUAGAACUCAUUAAUACGGCCCUGCGCACUCUAUGCCAGGCGUCGCUGGUGGACAAAGCGCGCAGGGGUCCUCCUCUACGUCUGCCUGCGCCUGUAAUCCAGGCAGCUUACGUGUGUUAAAUUUGGGUCUCUCUCUGUCUCUCACACAAAGAAGUUCCAUCAUUUGAGGCCGUUAGGAAAAGCUGAUGUUGUGCAGUGCCAAACUACCACACGCUUCCUCCUUCGGAUGAAUCCCUGGAAAGCAGAGAGGCAGCUCGCUACGUGACCAUCAUGCUUUUUACCUCACUGAGCUGUUGUCAAGAGAGGGCGGGGAUGGCGGGCAGCUCACGUCGUGCCCUCCGCAGCAAUAAAAACUGGAGCGGGAGAAGAAAUGCAAGACAUCGCUGUCUGUUUUGCAAGCCUCUGGCCGCUCUCAGCAAACUCUGCCCGGCGCGGCUGGUGACUUUGCGGUGUGAACGCAGCCGGUCGUGCUCGGGAUAAUGGGACCGAGCUGGCGGCAUCGCCCUCCCGUGGGCCCCUCUUGCCACACAGAUGCGCAGCUCUCCAAAAGGAAAAUGUGGCCCAGCAACCCUCGCCUAGCCCUAGUCCUAGGAAUGCAUGCCUGGGGCCUUUGGAAGCCUCUCAAAGGGCUGGGGGGCGGGGGGGAGGGAUAUAAUGGGCCGAACCUCUGGAUUCAUUUUGGGGAAGAGGAGACAGGUUCUUGCCCCACUACUGAGGCAAGGCCAACAGCACCCUGCCCUGCUGCUCCACCGCCUCCCCGCGGGUCAAGUCUCAGCCGAGUGUCGCUGCCCACCUGAAGGUGACACCUGUCCAUUUUAGUCAGCAUCACAUGCGCCUUCCCUUUCUCCCCUUUGGGGUCUGUCCGUUUUCUCCUCCUGUCCUAAAGAGCCAGCUUGGAACUGAAGGGGCCGGGUAGCAGCUGUUUGUGCCUCUUGCCCGUGCAGACUCGAGGGUCUCCGCAGCCACUUCCUCCUUUAACACGCGAGGCUUUCAGGCGUGCAGAAGGGGACCGCCGGGUCAGGCAGGUAUUAGGCUCUCCAAGGACACUUGUGGACAUCACUGGAGUUUACCUAUUGUUUGGACUUUAUUACAUCUGCUUUAGCAAACGGAGGCAUGAGCGGCCUGUCUGCUGGGUUCAAACCCAGUUGCUGCCCCGGCUGCAACCUCUCCCACUCAAGAGACCCUAGGAACGAUGAGGAACGGGGUAGAAAUGACCAGGGGAGCCAAAUCUCAGGUACCGAGACCUUCCAGCUCACCCCUCAGGCUCAGGAAAGCCAAUAACCCACAUAUGCCCAAAAGGAGCUUAUGUCUCAACUGAGAACAGCAAAUAGGUGAUGGGCCACUUUAGAACAGAGGCUAAAGGCUGGUAGCCACUGAGCAAAACCCAAAUUCUAGGCACCUGAGGUGUUUCCCUUACACAAGUGCCUUCACAGGUAGCAAGCAAUUAAUCUGCAACAGUGAACAACACUAAAACUUAAAUUUUACAUGGAAGUCUCUCAAGUAGACAAAGUUAUUAUUGGGUGGGGUUUUCCCCCCACUGGCAAAAAAAUAACUUAUCCCUUGGCUGUUAGAUUGAGGGAACUAUAAAACAAAUAUUUUAAUUCGAUCACUGACAAAGUCAUAAAAUUCAAUGACUGUUUGUAGAGGAAAACAUGCUUUCAUUAUCUUAAUUAAAGCAAGAUAAGCCUCUCUCAAUGUGCAUGCAUUUUGGAGCCACUGAAUGGACUGGUGAUGAGACGAAGCAACCUUUAAUUGGGACCAUGCUUCUCCAGUACAUUCGUUUGUAUUCCAUGGUGUAAACCGGGCCUUACGCGUGGCUCCGACCUUCGGUGGAAAUGCAUUUGCGUAGCACCACCCAGGGGCUCCCUUGCUUUGGCUAGAGCCUCAUAAAAGACCCCAGGUUUUGCGAAGGAUUUUGAACACCAGCGUCUUUUAACAUGUGGAACUUUCGGUUUUGGUUUAGCUCUGUGAACGUAUUUAAAACUUGCUACAUUAUUCCACAGUGAAAGUUGGAACCUUUUUAAGAGUUAUCAUAGAGUGCCUUUUAACAUCUGUCAUAUUUUCUAUAAACAACUUUUCAGUGAGAAGCGUAUAUAGUGUACUCGAGGUAGGCAUUAGCUGCUGGCAAGGUUUAUGAUACAAUAGUGACACUACAGGACAAUUUUUUAGUCAAACAACACCCGUUAGAUAUUUCAGGGUCCAGCUUAUAUGUUAACUUGUAAAUAUAGGUUAAAAAUAUAGGUAUCAAGUGACUAAAUUCAGUAUCAGACAAAUUGAACAUCUUUUUAUUUCCCAGAAGUGCCCUACUCUUUCUCCUCCCUUUGGUGACCUCUUAGUCUGGAAUGCUCUGCAUCCGGGGCCCCUGGAACACAUAGUUUUUAAAGUACCUAUUAGUGAUACUCUCCUCCCGUUGGCAGUGCUUCCACUGUGUUUUCUGCAUGUAAUAAAGGAUGGCACUGUUUUUUGCAUAGGUCUUUCCUAAUAGCUGAGCACUCUUGGAGUGUAGGGGCUCAACCUUAUGCCUCUUUGGACACACAAGCCUAGCCCAUGGGCUGGCAUAUAGGAGCUGCUCAAUAAAUGUUUGUUGAACGAAUGAGUGGAUACACGAAUAAAAUAUUUUCAUUGUCUUUAGCCCCUCUGACUUUCUUUUUUAAACAGGGGUAUGUCAUAAAUAAAAUUUACCUUGAAAAUGCAUUUAAGUACACUGUUCUACUUCUCUGACCAUGAAGUUUUUAAUGGGACAUCGUUUUAAAAUUCUGGUCAUUACAACGAACCACUUUUGACCUUGGUUGACUUUUCUCAGAAUCAUAAUGCGAAGUAAAGACAAAAACAAUGAGAAAAGGCAAAGAGAUCAAAUUUUGGUUUUCUCU
RNAcentral lists this long non-coding RNA (4854 nucleotides) under Homo sapiens (human). RNAcentral describes it as "non-protein coding lnc-DCTD-65:21". Lineage: Eukaryota; Metazoa; Chordata; Mammalia; Primates; Hominidae. The record is from RNAcentral.